RNAcentral lists this transfer-messenger RNA (357 nucleotides) under Acidobacteriaceae bacterium. It matches the Rfam family "transfer-messenger RNA". Rfam says of the family: Bacterial tmRNA, also known as 10Sa RNA or SsrA, is named for its dual tRNA and mRNA-like properties. Its role is to liberate the mRNA from a stalled ribosome. Lineage: Bacteria; Pseudomonadati; Acidobacteriota; Terriglobia; Terriglobales; Acidobacteriaceae. The record is from RNAcentral.
GGGGGCGUAACGGAUUCGACGGGAUCGAAUCGUUGUGGAGAGGCGUGCCGGGUUCCGAGCUCCCGUAAAACGAUCGGAAAACCAAAACUGCCAACAAUCAGCAGUUUGCAUACGCUGCUUAAUUAAUUAAGGAGCGCGCCCGGGAUAGUGGGCUUGCACAUUAUCCAGAGGGCGUCAUUUCGCAGGCUGGGUGUAAGGCUUCUGCUCGUAGCCGAAAGCCGAGAUCAAUCGGGCUAAGCGGUCCCGUUCUUCGCUGGUUUUUUACGGGAUAGCCGACAAUUACCGAACCAGAUACGCACGUAGGCUUUUCAUGGCGGGCUUUCUCGGACCCGGGUUCAACUCCCGGCGCCUCCACCA